GGUGAGGUGGCCGAGAGGCUGAAGGCGCUUCCCUGCUAAGGGAGUAUGCGGUCAAAAGCUGCAUCCGGGGUUCGAAUCCCCGCCUCACCGCCA
RNAcentral lists this transfer RNA (93 nucleotides) under Escherichia coli. RNAcentral describes it as "tRNA-Ser". It matches the Rfam family "tRNA". Rfam says of the family: Transfer RNA (tRNA) molecules are approximately 80 nucleotides in length. Their secondary structure includes four short double-helical elements and three loops (D, anti-codon, and T loops). Lineage: Bacteria; Pseudomonadati; Pseudomonadota; Gammaproteobacteria; Enterobacterales; Enterobacteriaceae. RNAcentral also lists the same sequence under 1 other name. The record is from RNAcentral.